AAAAAAUUGGUUUACAACAAGGCUGCUAACUUUUGUUGUGAGUAGUUCAAUUCUAUUC
This 58-nucleotide transfer RNA is filed under the name Loxosomella aloxiata. RNAcentral describes it as "tRNA-Ser(GCU)". The record is from RNAcentral. Lineage: Eukaryota; Metazoa; Entoprocta; Loxosomatidae.